RNAcentral lists this ribosomal RNA (43 nucleotides) under Sticta caperata. RNAcentral's name for it is "partial 28S ribosomal RNA". RNAcentral also lists the same sequence under 10 other names. Lineage: Eukaryota; Fungi; Ascomycota; Lecanoromycetes; Peltigerales; Lobariaceae. The record is from RNAcentral.
UUUGACCUCGGAUCAGGUAGGGAUACCCGCUGAACUUAAGCAU